This 286-nucleotide ribosomal RNA is filed under the name uncultured bacterium. RNAcentral's name for it is "partial 16S ribosomal RNA". It matches the Rfam family "Bacterial small subunit ribosomal RNA", at positions 335 to 619 of the family's 1533-position model. The record is from RNAcentral.
GUCCUACGGGAGGCAGCAGUGAGGAAUAUUGGUCAAUGGGAGGAAUCCUGAACCAGCCAUGCCGCGUGCAGGACGACGGCUCUACGAGUUGUAAACUGCUUUUGUACCGGGGAAAAAUGCCAUACGAGUAGGGUUUUGAAAGUACGGCACGAAUAAGGAUCGGCUAACACCGUGCCAGCAGCCGCGGUAAUACGGAGGAUCCGAGGGUUAUCCGGAUUCAUUGGGUUUAAAGGGUGCGUAGGUUGUUUUAUAAGUUAGCGGCGAAAUACCGAUGCUCAACAUCGGG